This 253-nucleotide ribosomal RNA is filed under the name uncultured bacterium. RNAcentral's name for it is "partial 16S ribosomal RNA". It matches the Rfam family "Bacterial small subunit ribosomal RNA", at positions 524 to 776 of the family's 1533-position model. The record is from RNAcentral.
AACGUAGGAGGCAAGCGUUAUUCGGAUUUACUGGGCGUAAAGGGUGUGCAGGCGGUUCGGAAAGUUGGAUGUGAAAGCUCCUGGCUUAACUGGGAGAGGUCGUUCAAAACUUCCGGACUAGAGGAUGAGAGAGGAAAGCGGAAUUCCGAGUGUAGUGGUGAAAUGCGUAGAUAUUCGGAGGAACACCAGUGGCGAAAGCGGCUUUCUGGCUCAUUUCUGACGCUCAUACACGAAAGCUAGGGUAGCAAACGGG